GUUUGAAUUGAAUUACCUUGAGUUGGGUUGAGGAUAAUUGUAUGUGUUGAAAAGGUUCAAGUUUAGGGUUGUAUGGGAAAAGUAAAAGGCAAAAGAAAAAGCAUUGAGUUCAAAAGUAAAAAAGAAAAAUGCAUGAGAAAGAAAAAGAAAAGAAGAAAAGAGAAAAAGCAUGUAAAGUGAACUCAAUGUAAAAGGAAAAAGGGAAGAAGUUGGGAAUGAGUGAGAUUGGUUAAAAAGAGAGUAUGCUUGAACUUUGAAUGAUGAUUUAAACUCUCUUAAGUCAAGGAUUUUGUAUUCCAAAAAACCCAAUUUCUUGAUAGCCCAACCACAUUACAAGCCUUGGAAAAAGUCCUUGUGAUGACAUUUGCAUGUGAAGAUUUUGAUUGUUUUAGAUGAACGACAAUAUUGUUUUAUGUGACAUG
RNAcentral lists this long non-coding RNA (422 nucleotides) under Vigna radiata. RNAcentral's name for it is "long non-coding RNA (VRAD_LNC005289)". Lineage: Eukaryota; Viridiplantae; Streptophyta; Magnoliopsida; Fabales; Fabaceae. The record is from RNAcentral.